RNAcentral lists this ribosomal RNA (364 nucleotides) under uncultured bacterium. RNAcentral's name for it is "bacterial SSU rRNA". It matches the Rfam family "Bacterial small subunit ribosomal RNA", at positions 396 to 757 of the family's 1533-position model. The record is from RNAcentral.
GCCGCGUGAAGGAUUAAGCCCCUCUGGGUUGUACACUUCUAUUAUAGGGGAAGAAAUGUGACGGUUCUCCGUCACUUGACGGUACCCUGGGAAUAAGCACCGGCUAACCCCGUGCCAGCAGCCGCGGUAAUACGGAGGGUGCAAGCGUUAUCCGGAUUCACUGGGGUUAAAGGGUGCGUAGGUGGGCAGAUAAGUCAGUGGUGAAAUCUUCCGGCUUAACCGGGAAACUUCCGUUGAUAGUAGUUGUCUUGAAUAUUGCGGAGGUAAGCGGAAUAUGUCAUGUAGCGGUGAAAGGCUUAGAUAUGACAUGGGACACCAAUUGCGAAGGCAGCGUGCUAUGCGGUGAUUGACACUGAGGCACGAA